AUGUCUUCCUCCUCCGGCAUAUCUCACCCUAGCCUCAGUGGGCAGGUGAUCGAGAAACUCUCCCGCACGAAUUACGUGCUAUGGCGCACACAGAUCACACCACAACUUCGUGGCGCCGGUGUCUUCCAAUAUGUUGAUGGCACCUCGCCGGAGCCGACCAAGCUUCAAGCCGCCAAGGACAAGGACGGCAAGGACACGUUUGUGCCCAACCCUCUCCACCCCAUCUGGGUCCGGGAGGACCAGCAGGUGCUUGGCUUCCUGCUGAGCAACCUCUCCAAAGAGGUGCUCGUCACGGUGACCGCAGUCACCACGGCGCACGCGCUCUGGACGACGCUGGCGGGCAUGUACUCGUCGCAGUCGUUGAGCCGCGUCAACAACAUCCGUACCUCGCUCAUCAACGCGCAGAAGGGCAACCAGUCCGCCGCCGCCUACUUCGCCACCAUGCGCGGUCUCGCGGAUGAGCUCGCGGCGGCGGGCAAACCCGCGGCUGCAACUUCACCAGCUUCUGCCAUGGGAUUUUCUGUGGCAGAAACAGCAGGCACAACAUCUCCGCAUCGUACACGACUACAAAAAGGGGUAACAAAACCUGUAAACUACAAGCAUAUUACAAAAUAUGGUAUGGUAUGUUUUACAGGUGAACCUGGUGAACCCCACAAUCUUGAGGAAGCUUUGAAUGAUGAAAAGUGGAGAAAGGCCAUGAAUGAGGAAUUUGUGGCACUACAGAAGAAUAAAACAUGGCAUUUGGUCCCUCCGCAGAAAGGUAAAAAUCUCAUCGACUGCAAGUGGGUUUUUAGAAUUAAGAGAAAGUCAGAUGGGACCAUUGAUCGGUACAAAGCUAGAUUGGUUGCAAAAGGAUUCAAACAACGGUAUGGCAUAGACUACGAGGACACGUUUAGUCCUGUUGUAAAAGCUGCCACUAUUCGCCUUGUUUUGUCUAUUGUUGUUUCCAGGGUCUGGAGUCUCAGGCAACUAGAUGUACAGAACGCGUUUCUUCAUGGUGUUCUGAAAGAAGAGGUGUACAUGAAGCAACCUCCUGGGUUUGUGAACAAAAUGUUCCUUCUUACAUUUGCAAACUUGACAAAUCAUUGUAUGGGUUGA
Molecule: ribosomal RNA, 1098 nt
Filed under: Triticum aestivum (bread wheat)
Lineage: Eukaryota; Viridiplantae; Streptophyta; Magnoliopsida; Poales; Poaceae
Description: partial small subunit ribosomal RNA
Source: RNAcentral